Long non-coding RNA from Myotis lucifugus (little brown bat), 1879 nucleotides. RefSeq lists it as uncharacterized. The record is from RefSeq and is a predicted model, not a curated record. NCBI's taxonomy places the organism in Eukaryota, Metazoa, Chordata, Mammalia, Chiroptera, Vespertilionidae. The transcript has 2 exons.
GUGGGUGGGGGCCCCCAGGACCCUGUAACUCGAUGCUUGGGAGUGUGCGAAAAGGGGUGGUCAGACAUCUGCUCGAAAAUUGCUUCCUUUCUUUCUACUUUCAGUUUUUCUACCAGGAAACAUUUAAAAACGACUUGCAUCACAAAUGGUCUUUUUGGGGGGUAAAGGAGUCUGGGUUGGAAAUGGCACUCUUCCUUCGCCAACGCGGAGGACCUCCCUGGUGGAAACCCAUCAGGCCGGGAGAGGUGGGGUUCCCGCUAUUCGGGGGUGAGUGGGUGGGUGGACGGUGGGGUCCUGGAUUGAGGGAGUCGCCCACGGGACUCCAAAUGUGGGCGAAAGGGUGCUCUCCACAUUUUAUCUCGUCUCUUUAAAGAAUAACUUAAGGAGAAAGGUAACCACUGUAACCCGCCCUGAAAUUUCCAACCGAUUCCAACCCAAGUAAAACUCAAUUUCCCCAGGAAAAAGGGUGGCGGUGACGUGGGGUGGGGUGAGGGGAGAAAAUGCUGAGCCUCCGGGGGUGAGAGAGAAGAGGCUCCACUCCCGCGGCGGGGGCUCUUCCCCGACUCCCAGGAUCAUCUCCGAUUCCCCAGGAAACCUCCAACCCGCGGCUACCGCAGCCCCGGCAGGAUGUUCGCUACGCCGGCCGCGUGUCCGGAAUUCCCGGGCCACCUAGGAAUUACCUGCCCCGCACAGCUGGCCGGCUCGGCUUCUUCCAGGAAUUAAAGAAACAAAUGGCGCGACCCCCACUGCGUUCGGGCAGAGGAGACCGCAGCGAGGAUGGAGCCUCUCACACUGACUCCACUCAAACUCUUCUUAAAGGGGGUAGGCGAGUCCUGGGGGAGCCGAGGAACGAGCCCCCACCGUCUGCCCGAGGACCUGAGCCAGGCCGAGGGCAACACAGGUAGCGGAGGAGCCGCCGCCGGCUGCGCCGCCCGCCCUCCCGUGUCCCCACCCCCCCAUCCCAUCCCCCGCCCCUCCCAGCCCCAGGCUUUGCAGCGAAGGAAGCGUCGCGGACGUCCCACCCCCGCAGGGAGCUGCGCCCGCUGCCCCCGCCCGGCCCCGCACCACCCGCCCCAGCGGCCCCUCCUCGCUCCCCAGACCAUCGGCUCCGGCGGAGAGAAACGGGAGCAACAGUGCCUUUGCCCCCCCCCCCGCCCCCCUCCUCCACUUUUUUUUGUUGUUGUUGUUGCUUUCCCACGCUGGCUGAAUGUGACUUGACCCCAUUUCAAAAAGUUUGACAUAGUGCUUCAACAUUUCCGCAUUCCUCCGCGACUACAAAGGCUGCAGCCGCCUCCUUCUGCUUUCUGUCUCUGCUCUCUGUCUUCACACUCAAUGAAAUCCUUCAUGUGCCUCUCUCGAAGCCUGCCAAGCACCGCAAGGGUCGCCACCAGCGCCGCGACCAGAGGCCGCACCGGGGACCGCGGCUCCCGCGUGCGCGCACACACGGAUGCGCCCACGUGCACACUGACCGGCGGGCUGCGGGGCCGAGGCUGCUCCCUGCGGGGUAUGCGUUUGCGUUUGAACUCCGAUAUUGGAAAUUCGAAAAGUAAACUGGGAAGCUAAAGCGAACCUGCCUUGAGUCCAUGCGGGGCUCCAAGCCUGGGCACUUGGCAGCCUGCGUGCACUCCUCCAAGUGUGCAAAACUCCCCCGCGGGGGUUGCCGGCGAGAAGCCUGCGUUCACGUUUACCUCGUGGUGGGAAAGGUGGAGCCCGCACCCACACCUCGGCGAGCGGGAGCGGGAGCUUUCGUGGGAAAUCAAUAUGGGGCACGGGAACACAUUCUCCCGCACAGAGUCCCCAGGGGCAGUGCAUUUUCACCCCUAAAUGUGGAUUAUUGUAGGACCGUCCGAGUGGAGUUUAAAUUCCGUUUCAAAAUCUG